Molecule: non-coding RNA, 68 nt
Filed under: Allostigmatella aurantiaca
Lineage: Bacteria; Pseudomonadati; Myxococcota; Myxococcia; Myxococcales; Archangiaceae
Also listed under: 1 other name
Description: Stigmatella aurantiaca SAH sequence
Rfam family: SAH (S-adenosyl-L-homocysteine) riboswitch aptamer
Source: Rfam by way of RNAcentral
CAACCUGAGGAGCGCUGCAACGGGGACUUCCCGCCAGGCUCAGGUUCAUGUAACGGCGCUCGCUGACU